RNAcentral lists this ribosomal RNA (497 nucleotides) under uncultured bacterium. RNAcentral describes it as "partial 16S ribosomal RNA". It matches the Rfam family "Bacterial small subunit ribosomal RNA", at positions 28 to 507 of the family's 1533-position model. The record is from RNAcentral.
GACGAACGCUGGCGGCGUGCCUAAUACAUGCAAGUCGAGCGCUGAAGGCUGGUACUUGUUCCGACGGGAAGAGCAGCGAACGGGUGAGUAACGCGUGGGGAAUCUGCCUUUGAGCGGGGGACAAAAUUGGGAAACGAAUGCUAAUACAGCAUAAAAACUUUAAAUACCCGUUCUAAGUAUGAAAGAUGCAAUUACAUCACUCAUAGAUGAUUCCGCGUUGUAUUAGCUAGGUGGUGAGGUAAAGGCUCACCAAGGCGACGAUACAUAGCCGACCUGAGAGGGUGGACGGCCCCAUUUGGACUGGGACCACGCCCCAACCCCCUCCGGGGGCAGCCGGAGGGAAUCUUCGCGAAUUGGCGGAAGUCCUGCCGGACAACGCCGCGUGGAUGGAGAAAGUCUUCCGGUCGUUAAACUCUUUUGGUUGAGAAGAACGUUGGGUUGUAUGGAAAGCUCAUCAUGUGACGGUAACUGCGCAGAAAGCGCCGGCUAACUACGUG